CCGCCCGUCACAUCAUGAAAGCUAGUUGUACUAGAAGUCGCUGCGCUAACCGCAAGGAGGCAGGUGCCCAAGGUAUGACCGGUGAUUGGGGUG
RNAcentral lists this ribosomal RNA (93 nucleotides) under uncultured bacterium. Its description in RNAcentral is "partial 16S ribosomal RNA". It matches the Rfam family "Bacterial small subunit ribosomal RNA", at positions 1390 to 1482 of the family's 1533-position model. The record is from RNAcentral.